RNAcentral lists this long non-coding RNA (1197 nucleotides) under Anser cygnoides (Swan goose). RNAcentral's name for it is "lncRNA (ENSACDG00005003596.1)". Lineage: Eukaryota; Metazoa; Chordata; Aves; Anseriformes; Anatidae. The record is from RNAcentral.
AUGCAGGAAAUGAAAAGCAAACACUUAAAGAUAAUCAGACAGCUGGAAAACACAAAGAAAGAAAACCAAAGCAAGGAGCAGACUAUAACUACUAUAAAUAAACUUUAUGGUGACAAAAUUAGGAGUUUGAAAUCCCAGUUGGAAGCUUACCAUGAACUGAUGAACAAGAACAGCACCCAUUGGCAAAAUGCUGUUAAGAGCCUGAGGGAAAGAAACAGAAAACUGAGCCAGGACAAAGAAGAUCUUAUUCACCAAAUGAAGCAACAAACAGAAAAAAUGGAAGAACAAAAGGUCUCCAUUCUAGAAAAUCUGACAAAAAGAAUAAAACAUCUUUAUACCCAGCACACAUUGACUUUGCAGGAACUUCACACCAUCAGUCUAUAUGUGGAGAGAGUGCAUGACCUCGUGAAUUUCCAGAUAAAAAUUCUUCAACAAAAGUCUGAAAAGACAGAAGAAGAAAAAUCCGAUGUGCCAGUGAUUUUAAAAUUAAAGGCAGAACAAGCAGCUAAUGAAGAGAAGCCUGAAUGCUUAAUGGAAACAGAACCUCUUUGGCAAGCACACGUCAUGUUGCAAAAGAUACAGGAAUCUUUACAGAAACAAGACAGAGAAAUCAGUGAGACCCUUGAAAGUGAAAGAUAUUACAAAACAAUGAAACCUCAAAUCAAGGUGCUAAUGUUCUUGAAAAAUCUUGCCAAGAAGGUUCACACCAUAUAUUGUGAUGUUCCUGAGGCACAACAGUAUAUCAGCCAGCUUAUCAGAAAGAACAAGGAUGAAAGGGCUGAUCAGAAAGAAGCCUUUAAUAAUGCUCAGGCUGACAUUCUGUCUUAUGAAGUAUUUUAUGGAAAUGAACCCAUGGAUGACAAAAGGACAGAGCUGUCAAUGAAGCUUUUCAGAAAUCUUGGGAAAGCAAAAUCUGAAUUUGAAUACAUUGAAACGGAGAAGAUGGUUUUUGAUUGUAUCCGGACAGGGGAAAUCCCCAACUGGAUUAAAAGGGAUUGUCUUUAUGUAGCCUUGGCAGAUCAUAAAAAUAUAUGUUCUGAGGAGACAAGUCACCAUGCAGAGGAACUCAUGCGGAAGUUUGAAAUGGAAGUCAAGGUGGCCAACAAAACAAAGGAACAGUAAGAGACUUGCAAAGAGUGGAACAAGUUUCUAAUUUUAAAGAGGGACACUGAAUAAAAAGCUUGGAGCAUAGAAACA